GGUGAACCUGCGGAAGGAUCAUUACCGAUGUGAAAAAAUCCAAGGUUAAACAUCAUUAACCAGUGUGAACUGUACAACAACUCUUUAGGGGUCGGCACAGGCGUGUGUCGUUAAAUGGCGGAUAGGUUCCUUCCGCCAGCCCCGCCAUUGUGUUUAUGAUAUCACUUUGAACGUUUAAGACUGAGAACGUAUGUAUCAUGCAUGAAAUGUAUGAGAAAGAAGGAAAGAAAAAUGAGAGACAACUUUUGACGGUGGAUCUCUUGGCUCACGUAUCGAUGAAGAACGCAGCCAGCUGCGAUAUGUAGUGUGAAUUGCAGAAUUCAGUGAAUCAUUGAAUCUUUGAACGCAAAUGGCGCUCUUGGGUUCUCCCAGGAGCAUGUCUGUCUGAGUGUCGGAUUUUAUCGAACGCACUCGUGAGUGCGGUAUUGAGGUGUCACGGCGUGUUAGCAUUAAAUCGCCGUGUCCCUUGAAGGACAGCAGCAUUGGACUCGCAUUCUCUAUUGAAACUUGAGUGCGAAGGCUAAAGAUAAUAUUUUCCUUCGCCCAAACAUGCAAUAGCAGAAACAAAAUCCAAUCAAAGCGGUGACAGACAAUGACAACAUCAAAUCUUGACCUCAGAUCAGGCAAGGCUACCCGCUGA
Molecule: small RNA, 640 nt
Filed under: Porites lobata
Lineage: Eukaryota; Metazoa; Cnidaria; Anthozoa; Scleractinia; Poritidae
Description: eukaryotic LSU rRNA
Rfam family: 5.8S ribosomal RNA (bases 241-394)
Source: RNAcentral